CAACUGGUCCUUUUCAGGACCACCAAAAACAGUUCAAAAUGAGUUA
Aedes aegypti (yellow fever mosquito) is the source of this 46-nucleotide non-coding RNA. Lineage: Eukaryota; Metazoa; Arthropoda; Insecta; Diptera; Culicidae. The record is from Rfam.